GCUAUAAUAGUGUAAAAUGACUAGAGGAAUGAGCAGUGUGGACACAGUGACUUUAAUUUGUAAACCAUUAGAAUGUCAGGAGUGGAGACUGAGAGAAACAGAUACCUGUGAGAAUUAUUUAGCAAGUAAAAUCCACAAAAUUCUGGCAACACAUUAUAUAUGACAGGAAUGAGGGACAGA
Molecule: non-coding RNA, 180 nt
Organism: Ceratotherium simum simum (southern white rhinoceros)
Lineage: Eukaryota; Metazoa; Chordata; Mammalia; Perissodactyla; Rhinocerotidae
Source: RefSeq, a predicted model, not a curated record